CUUAGUGGCGGACGGGUGAGUAAUGCUUAGGAAUCUGCCUAGUAGUGGGGGAUAACUUGGGGAAACCCAAGCUAAUACCGCAUACGACCUACGGGUGAAAGGGGCUUUUAGCUCUCGCUAUUAGAUGAGCCUAAGUCGGAUUAGCUGGUUGGUGGGGUAAAGGCCUACCAAGGCGACGAUCUGUAGCUGGUCUGAGAGGAUGAUCAGCCACACUGGGACUGAGACACGGCCCAG
Molecule: ribosomal RNA, 234 nt
Filed under: uncultured Pseudomonadales bacterium
Lineage: Bacteria; Pseudomonadati; Pseudomonadota; Gammaproteobacteria; Pseudomonadales
Description: partial 16S ribosomal RNA
Rfam family: Bacterial small subunit ribosomal RNA
Source: RNAcentral